Molecule: non-coding RNA, 125 nt
Organism: Hordeum vulgare subsp. vulgare (domesticated barley)
Lineage: Eukaryota; Viridiplantae; Streptophyta; Magnoliopsida; Poales; Poaceae
Source: Rfam
CUCAUACUCCCUCCGUCCGGAAAUACUUGUCGGAGAGAAGGAUGUAUCUAGAUGUAUUUUAGUUUUAGAUACAUCAAAUUCUAUUCAUUUUUAUGACAAGUAAUUCCGGACAGAGUGAAUACUAU